UUCGGGGAGGUAGUGACGAAAAAUAACAAUACAGGACUCAUAUCCGAGGCCCUGUAAUUGGAAUGAGUACACUUUAAAUCCUUUAACAAGGACCUAUUGGAGGGCAAGUCUGGUGCCAGCAGCCGCGGUAAUUCCAGCUCCAAUAGCGUAUAUUAAAGUUGUUGCGGUUAAAACGUUCGUAGUUGAAUUUGUGCUUGAUACGGGUAGUACAUCUAUAAUUGUGGAUUGUACAUUACCUUAUGUAUGCAAGCGUAUUAUCGGUGGAGUUCUUAUAUAUAAUGGUACUUGUAUUAUUAUAUAUUCCUCCUAUUUAAACCUGCUUCAGUGCUCUUCAUCGAGUGUUGUUGUGGGCCGGUACAAUUACUUUGAACAAAUUAGAGUGCUUAAAGCAGGCUCCAAAUGCCUGAAUAUUUUGUGCAUGGAAUAAUGAAAUAAGACCUCUGUUCUACUUUCAUUGGUUUUUAGAUCAAGAGGUAAUGAUUAAUAGAAGCAGUUUGGGGGCAUUAGUAUUACGACGCGAGAGGUGAAAUUCUUGGACCGUCGUAAGACUAACUUAAGCGAAAGCAUUUGCCAAAGAUGUUUUCAUUAAUCAAGAACGAAAGUUAGAG
This 608-nucleotide ribosomal RNA is filed under the name Merodon atratus. RNAcentral's name for it is "SSU rRNA". It matches the Rfam family "Eukaryotic small subunit ribosomal RNA", at positions 455 to 995 of the family's 1831-position model. The record is from RNAcentral. Lineage: Eukaryota; Metazoa; Arthropoda; Insecta; Diptera; Syrphidae.